RNAcentral lists this long non-coding RNA (1875 nucleotides) under Homo sapiens (human). Its description in RNAcentral is "HSALNT0331889". The record is from RNAcentral. Lineage: Eukaryota; Metazoa; Chordata; Mammalia; Primates; Hominidae.
UCAGCAGGAUGUGGGUGGGGCCAGAUAAGAGAAUAAAAGCAGGCUGCCCGAGCCAGCAUUGACAACUCGCGGGGAUUGUUUUCCACACCGUGGAAGCUUUGUUCUUUUCGUUUUUUGCAAUAAAUCUUGUUGCUGCUCGCUUUUUGGGUCCACAUUGCUUUUAUGAGCUGUACCACUCACCGUGAAGAUCUGCAGCUUCACUUCAGAGCCUAGCGAGACCACAAGCUCACUGAGAGGAACAAACAACUCCAGACGCGCUGUCUUAAGAGCUAUAACACUCACCGCGAAGGUGUGCAGUUUCACUCCUGAGCUAGUGAGACUACGAAGCCACUGGAACGAAGAAACUCCAACCACGUUUGAACAUCAGAAGGGGCAGACUCCAGACGCUUCAUCUUAAGAGCUGUAACACUCACUGUGAAGGUCUGCAGCUUCACUCCUGAGCCAGCGAGACCACGAACCGAUCUGAACAUCAGAAGGGACAGACUCCAGAUGCCCCACCUUAAGAGCUGUAAUACUCACUGCAAGGGUCUGCAGCUUCAUUCUUGAAGUCAGACCAAGAACCCAGCAAUUCCCAACACACAGGGACCAGCUUCUUUCCUAACUCACUUAGGCUCUUCGUGCUGCUCUGGCAACUAACACCCUUGGCUGCAGGGGCUUGGACACUACCCUUAGUCACUGACAAUUGUGUGAAGGCUGCUGUCGUUAACUUCACUUGAUCACCUUAGGCUCCUGUGAAGUGGUGAGCAAUUCAAACAAAUUCCUGUCGUCAAAUCAUGAUAUACAUCUUUCCACACCAAUAGACCUUGUUUUCCGAUGUAGCAUUAUUUUUCAUAGUUGGCGAAUAUACAGUUAUGGAUUCAUAACAGCAAGAUGGAGAAAUUGCACUGCAGAGAAAUCUUUAAAAGCAAUUACCUAAUACUGCAGAUUGCUGAACUGUACCCACACCCAAGACUGAGCAUUGGAUCAAUCCAGAAUAUACAUCAGGUGUUCUGCAAUGUCUGCCUAAAACCAUGACUCUGCCUCCUCCAGCUGUUGCUACAUCUCACUAUGGGUUUCCUGUGACAUUUUGAGCAAGUAUGCCUCUGUGACUGGGGUUCUUACACUCCAGAAUGGAUGAGAAGCACCGUAAGUGGCUUUUAAAAUGAAUAUUCCCUGGCCCUUCAGUCGCUCUAUAGGUCAAGAAUCUGAAUUCUCAACCUGUCUAGAAGGUUCUGGUUUUAAUGGUCUGUGGGCUGCACAUUGAGAAACCUGUUCAGCGAGUGCAACAAAGGUUCCACAUGUGAGAAAGGAAGCAUCAGGUCUCUUGAGCCUGUUCUUUAAUCUGUAGGCUGCACCUUCUCUUUAAAUUCUGCUAAUAACACCAUGCGAGAAAACACCCGAGCUUGAAAAGCCCAUGUUCCAACAUAACUGUCCUUCACCACUCUGGAAAAUUAAUGGUUUGUUUCGAUUAUCCCUUUGUUAAACUCCAAAGUCAAAGAGCUCUGAAAGGCAUACGGUUAUUUUAAGUUUCAGGUGAUUUCUGUUGCCAAAUAUUUUAAAAAUUUAAAAUUGCUACGUGACCUCUUAGUAGUACUAUUAGAUUUCCUGACAAUAAAAAUAAGUCUUUUGGUUUCACCAUUUAUAGUUAGUACAGCUAAUAUUAAGUAUAAUUUUAAAAGCCUUUUAUUUUCUCAGAAAGAAAAAAUAAUCAAAAUCUGCUCAGUGUGGUAUUGAAUAAUUAAAAACAAAAGAACAGUAUCUUCACAUUAGUGUUUAAUAUUAAUUGCUUUUUUACCCUUGACACUGGUGCUAAUUAAAUUUUCAUUUUAUUUUCCAUGACUUGUUUAAACAGUUUUUGCAAAUUAUUGCUAAUCAGCCUAAUAAAACUGAAUCACC